UACGUAGGGUGCAAGCGUUAAUCGGAAUUACUGGGCGUAAAGCGUGCGCAGGCGGUUGUGCAAGACAGAUGUGAAAUCCCCGGGCUUAACCUGGGAAUUGCAUUUGUGACUGCACGGCUAGAGUGUGUCAGAGGGGGGUAGAAUUCCACGUGUAGCAGUGAAAUGCGUAGAUAUGUGGAGGAAUACCGAUGGCGAAGGCAGCCCCCCUGGGAUAACACUGACGCUCAUGCACGAAAGCGUGGGGGAGCAAACAGG
RNAcentral lists this ribosomal RNA (255 nucleotides) under uncultured bacterium. RNAcentral describes it as "partial 16S ribosomal RNA". It matches the Rfam family "Bacterial small subunit ribosomal RNA", at positions 524 to 776 of the family's 1533-position model. The record is from RNAcentral.